Molecule: long non-coding RNA, 179 nt
Organism: Chelonia mydas (Green sea turtle)
Lineage: Eukaryota; Metazoa; Chordata; Testudines; Cheloniidae
Exons: 3
Source: RefSeq, a predicted model, not a curated record
UAUAAAGUGGUUAUAGACCAGGGGUGGCCAAUCUGAGCCUGAGAAGGAGCCAGAAUUUACCAAUGUACAUUGCCAGAGAGCCACAGUAAUACGUCAGCAGCCCCCCCAAUCAGCUCCCCAGCCCACAACACCUCCCGCCUGCCGGCAGCCUCCACCAAUCAGCACCUACUCCCCCCUCU